AGCACUAUAUUUAAAACUGUGGGUGGGAAUUUUCCUCAUUGUUGGUUAUGCUGUAGUGUGAAAGAAUUCCUGGCCUUUUUUCUUGCACAGCUGACUUACACCAUUCUGCUGUUCCUAUAUGGAAUUAAGGAGCAUGU
This is a small nucleolar RNA of Otolemur garnettii (small-eared galago), 137 nucleotides long. The record is from Ensembl. NCBI's taxonomy places the organism in Eukaryota, Metazoa, Chordata, Mammalia, Primates, Galagidae.